GCGGCCGUGGUCUAGCCUGGUCCAGGACACAGAGCGCUGAGCGUGUAGGCCUUCCACGCCUGUUACCCGGGUUCGAAUCCCGGCGGCCGCA
This 91-nucleotide transfer RNA is filed under the name Thermoprotei archaeon. RNAcentral's name for it is "tRNA-Gly". It matches the Rfam family "tRNA". Rfam says of the family: Transfer RNA (tRNA) molecules are approximately 80 nucleotides in length. Lineage: Archaea; Thermoproteati; Thermoproteota; Thermoprotei. The record is from RNAcentral.